CACAGAGUUAGCCGGUGCUUAUUCUGCGAGUAACGUCCACUAUCUCUAGGUAUUAACUAAAGUAGCCUCCUCCUCGCUUAAAGUGCUUUACAACCAUAAGGCCUUCUUCACACACGCGGCAUGGCUGGAUCAGGGUUCCCCCCAUUGUCCAAUAUUCCCCACUGCUGCCUCCCGUAGGAGUCUGGGCCGUGUCUCAGUCCCAGUGUGGCGGAUCAUCCUCUCAGACCCGCUACAGAUCGUCGCCUUGGUAGGCCUUUACCCACCAACUAGCUAAUCCGACUUAGGCUCAUCUAUUAGCGCAAGGUCCGAAGAUCCCCUGCUUUCUCCCGUAGGACGUAUGCGGUAUUAGCAUCCCUUUCGAGAUGUUGUCCCCCACUAAUAGGCAGAUUCCUAAGCAUUACUCACCCGUCCGCCGCUAGGUCCGUAGCAAGCUACCUUCCCCGCUCGACUUGCAUGUGUUAAGCCUGCCGCCAGCGUUCAAUCUGAGCCAGGAUCAAACU
This 500-nucleotide ribosomal RNA is filed under the name uncultured Acinetobacter sp. RNAcentral describes it as "partial 16S ribosomal RNA". The record is from RNAcentral. Lineage: Bacteria; Pseudomonadati; Pseudomonadota; Gammaproteobacteria; Moraxellales; Moraxellaceae.